UGAAGUAUUUUAGUAUGUUUAAUUUCCAAUUAAAAGGGGAAAUGUA
This 46-nucleotide transfer RNA is filed under the name Phoneutria boliviensis. RNAcentral's name for it is "tRNA-Gly". Lineage: Eukaryota; Metazoa; Arthropoda; Arachnida; Araneae; Ctenidae. The record is from RNAcentral.